RNAcentral lists this ribosomal RNA (505 nucleotides) under uncultured bacterium. RNAcentral's name for it is "partial 16S ribosomal RNA". It matches the Rfam family "Bacterial small subunit ribosomal RNA", at positions 28 to 507 of the family's 1533-position model. The record is from RNAcentral.
GACGAACGCUGGCGGCGUGCCUAAUACAUGCAAGUAGAACGCACAGUUUAUACCGUAGCUUGCUACACCAUAGACUGCGAGUUGCGAACGGGUGAGUAACGCGUAGGUAACCUGCCUGGUAGCGGGGGAUAACUAUUGGAAACGAUAGCUAAUACCGCAUAAUAUUGAUUAUUGCAUGAUAAUUGAUUGAAAGAUGCUAUUGCAUCACUACCAGAUGGACCUGCGUUGUAUUAGCUAGUAGGUGAGGUAACGGCUCACCUAGGCGACGAUACAUAGCCGACCUGAGAGGGUGAUCGGCCACACUGGGACUGAGACACGGCCCAGACUCCUACGGGAGGCAGCAGUAGGGAAUCUUCGGCAAUAGACGAAAGUCUGACCGAGCAACGCCGCGUGAGUGAAGAAGGUUUUCGGAUCGUAAAGCUCUGUUGUAAGAGAAGAACGGGUGUGAGAGUGGAAAGUUCACACUGUGACGGUAUCUUACCAGAAAGGGACGGCUAACUACGUG